UACGUAGGUGGCAAGCGUUGUCCGGAAUUACUGGGCGUAAAGCGCACGUAGGCGGCCAUGUAAGUUGGGGGUGAAAUCCCGGGGCUCAACCCCGGAACUGCCUUCAAAACUACAUAGCUAGAGGAUGUGAGAGGAUAGUGGAAUUCCGAGUGUAGAGGUGAAAUUCGUAGAUAUUCGGAAGAACACCGGUGGCGAAGGCGACUGUCUGGCACAUUUCUGACGCUGAGGUGCGAAAGCGUGGGGAGCAAACAGG
This 253-nucleotide ribosomal RNA is filed under the name uncultured bacterium. RNAcentral describes it as "partial 16S ribosomal RNA". It matches the Rfam family "Bacterial small subunit ribosomal RNA", at positions 524 to 776 of the family's 1533-position model. The record is from RNAcentral.